AAUACAUGCAAGCUGUUGAAGAUCUGGUUGUCCCAAGGACUGAAUUUGGUAAUGCAUCAUAGAAAGAGCAUUACCAUGUGAAGGAAUCGGCUACAAUGGAUUUCCAAGAGGUUGUGCAGAUGACAAACUUCUGUGGGCAAAGAAAUCUAGGACUGGAGACCCAUUGGAGACAAAAUAUCUUUACAAUGCAAGCCCAAAAAGAAGCUCUGCCUGAUAUGCAAUGCAAAGACAAGUUCCUCUUUUAGAGUGUCAUUGCAAGUCAUGCAGCAACCACAAAGGACCUUGUGUUUUCUCUAGGAGUGGAGCACAUCAUGGAUGAUUUUUUAUUUAUUUUCAAUGUAU
This is a long non-coding RNA of Magnolia sinica, 342 nucleotides long. RefSeq lists it as uncharacterized. The record is from RefSeq and is a predicted model, not a curated record. NCBI's taxonomy places the organism in Eukaryota, Viridiplantae, Streptophyta, Magnoliopsida, Magnoliales, Magnoliaceae. The transcript is spliced from 4 exons.